ACUAGCCGUCGGUGCUCCUGACGAAGCGGACCACGCAUCGGCUACGAUAAGAUAAACCCGGACAAGUUCCAGUUGUAGUUCCAGAUACAGUGAUCCACGAAGUGGGAGGACUGCCGGUAAUGAUUGUACCGAUCCGAACUCUUAUCGUCCAAUUUGCAAGGCACCGUAAAUGUAGCUAUCGCUGCGUGUUCCAAUAUUCUAACAAUCCUGACGUAGAUCUCGAUUGCGUUUAACGAGCUGCGGAUAACUAUUGCUGGAGCCCUUAUCAAGAUUCCUAUACAAAUUGUUCCCAGACGAGUCACCACGAAUCGGAACUCUGAUUUCGGCAAUCGAAAAUGAAUCACCCAUGAACAUCGUCCUCGGCGAGCUUCCUCGGUGCUUACCACGAUAUGGAGGUACUUCUUCGCAUGAGUAUGUACUCCUAUUGGGCACUUGACUCUCGAAUCAGUCCUGAUGUAUGGUAUCAUUGCCCUCAUGUCAAGAAAUAAUUUUCUACUGCUAAUAUAAAAUCACGUUGGUAACUUAUGAUGUUUAGAUUCCGAGGCACGAAAAUGUUCUUUAAGCAAAGGUUUACAGCAAUAGGACCUAUAAGUUCGAAAAAGUCCUUAUAUCAUAGAUCUAAUUUUUUAAAUUAUGACCCUUGUAUAUUUCCAAUCCAUUUUAGGAUUCAUUGUAACCUAAGUAUAGUAAAAGUGU
Drosophila melanogaster (fruit fly) is the source of this 696-nucleotide non-coding RNA. Lineage: Eukaryota; Metazoa; Arthropoda; Insecta; Diptera; Drosophilidae. The record is from Ensembl.